Molecule: ribosomal RNA, 1344 nt
Filed under: uncultured Actinomycetes bacterium
Lineage: Bacteria; Bacillati; Actinomycetota; Actinomycetes
Description: bacterial SSU rRNA
Rfam family: Bacterial small subunit ribosomal RNA
Source: RNAcentral
GACGAACGCUGGCGGCGUGCUUAACACAUGCAAGUCGAACGGUGAUCUCGGUGCUUGCACCGGGUGAUCAGUGGCGAACGGGUGAGUAACACGUGAGCAACCUGCCCUUGACUCUGGGAUAACCCCGGGAAACCGGAGCUAAUACCGGAUACUCCGCACCGUAGGCAUCUUCGGGACGGGAAAGAUUUAUUGGUCAAGGAUGGGCUCGCGGCCUAUCAGCUAGUUGGUGGGGUAAUGGCCCACCAAGGCGACGACGGGUAGCCGGCCUGAGAGGGCGACCGGCCACACUGGGACUGAGACACGGGCCAAGACUCCUACGGGAGGCAGCAGUGGGGAAUCUUGCGCAAUGGGCGAAAGCCUGACGCAGCGACGCCGCGUGAGGGAUGAAGGCCUUCGGGUUGUAAACCUCUUUCAGCAGGGAAGAAGCGAAAGUGACGGUACCUGCAGAAGAAGCACCGGCUAACUACGUGCCAGCAGCCGCGGUAAUACGUAGGGUGCAAGCGUUGUCCGGAAUUAUUGGGCGUAAAGAGCUCGUAGGCGGUCUGUCGCGUCUGCUGUGAAAACUCGAGGCUCAACCUCGGGCUUGCAGUGGGUACGGGCAGACUAGAGUGCAGUAGGGGAGACUGGAAUUCCUGGUGUAGCGGUGAAAUGCGCAGAUAUCAGGAGGAACACCGGUGGCGAAGGCGGGUCUCUGGGCUGUAACUGACGCUGAGGAGCGAAAGCAUGGGGAGCGAACAGGAUUAGAUACCCUGGUAGUCCAUGCCGUAAACGUUGGGCGCUAGGUGUGGGGCUCUAUCCACGAGUUCCGUGCCGUAGCUAACGCAUUAAGCGCCCCGCCUGGGGAGUACGGCCGCAAGGCUAAAACUCAAAGGAAUUGACGGGGGCCCGCACAAGCGGCGGAGCAUGCGGAUUAAUUCGAUGCAACGCGAAGAACCUUACCAAGGCUUGACAUACAGGGAAAACUGUCAGAGAUGGCAGGUCCGCAAGGGCCCUGUACAGGUGGUGCAUGGUUGUCGUCAGCUCGUGUCGUGAGAUGUUGGGUUAAGUCCCGCAACGAGCGCAACCCUCGUUCUAUGUUGCCAGCGGGUAAUGCCGGGGACUCAUAGGAGACUGCCGGGGUCAACUCGGAGGAAGGUGGGGAUGACGUCAAAUCAUCAUGCCCCUUAUGUCUUGGGCUUCACGCAUGCUACAAUGGCCAGUACAAUGGGCUGCGAGACCGUAAGGUGGAGCGAAUCCCAAAAAGCUGGUCUCAGUUCGGAUCGGGGUCUGCAACUCGACCCCGUGAAGUCGGAGUCGCUAGUAAUCGCAGAUCAGCAACGCUGCGGUGAAUACGUUCCCGGGCCU